GUUGGGUGUGGUGGCUCACAUCUGUAAUCCCAGCAGCUUAGGAGAUUGAGACAGGAGGAUCAUGAGUUCAAAGUCAGCCUCAGAAAUUUAGUGAUGCCCUAAGCAACUCAGUGAGACUCUGUCUCUA
This 127-nucleotide small RNA is filed under the name Marmota monax (woodchuck). Lineage: Eukaryota; Metazoa; Chordata; Mammalia; Rodentia; Sciuridae. The record is from RNAcentral.